RNAcentral lists this ribosomal RNA (39 nucleotides) under Hyphoderma setigerum. Its description in RNAcentral is "partial 28S ribosomal RNA". Lineage: Eukaryota; Fungi; Basidiomycota; Agaricomycetes; Polyporales; Hyphodermataceae. The record is from RNAcentral.
GCGUUUGACCUCAAAUCAGGUAGGAUNACCCGCUGAACU